UACGUAGGGGGCCAGCGUUGCUCGGAAUUACUGGGCGUAAAGGGUUCGUAGGCGGUGUGGCAAGUCGGGAGUGAAAUCUCUGGGCUCAACCCAGAGUCUGCUUCCGAAACUGCUGUGCUUGAGUGUGGGAGAGGCGCGUGGAAUUGCAGGUGUAGCGGUGAAAUGCGUAGAUAUCGGGAGGAACACCUGUGGCGAAAGCGGCUCACUGGACCACAACUGACGCUGAUGCGCGAAAGCUAGGGGAGCAAACAGG
RNAcentral lists this ribosomal RNA (253 nucleotides) under uncultured bacterium. RNAcentral's name for it is "partial 16S ribosomal RNA". It matches the Rfam family "Bacterial small subunit ribosomal RNA", at positions 524 to 776 of the family's 1533-position model. The record is from RNAcentral.